Molecule: long non-coding RNA, 4494 nt
Filed under: Taeniopygia guttata (zebra finch)
Lineage: Eukaryota; Metazoa; Chordata; Aves; Passeriformes; Estrildidae
Description: lncRNA (ENSTGUG00000029354.1)
Source: RNAcentral
CUCAGCCCCUUCCCAGCUCCCUCAGGAAUUCUCCAGCCCCUUCCCAGCUUCAUUCCCUUCCCUGGACACGCUCCAGCCCCUCCAGGUCUCUCUGAAAGUGAGGAGUCCAGAAAUGAAAACAGAAUUUCAGAUGUAUUUCAGUAGAAUUUCCUCAGUGCUGCUGCACCUGGAAAAGUUUAGAAGUUGAUUUUAAUUUUGUUUGUUCUUGAGCAAACUUUUGUGUCAUAACAUGCUGCUAAUUUGAAUUAUUUGGGAAAAAUCUCAUGGGUUUUGGUGAUUAGUUCAUCCAGAAAGUUCCUUCAGCUCAUGAGUUGUGCAAGACUGAGUUGGGCUCAGGUUGGGCCUCACUUUUUGUGUCUUUGCCUGAAUAAGAGACUCAAUUAUGCUGCCCUCUCAGGUGAGGGGGUUGUUUGGGUUGGGGAAAUAAUCUCCUCUACCCAUUUAAUAGACAACUGGAGUGAUAAAAAAAAAAAAAAAAAAAAAAAAAGUUGAAAGCAACAAAAUGAACCAUCUUUCUGGGGGUGGGAGGUCAGGGCAAUGGACUGAGGAGCAAAAUAUAUGGACUUUUUUGUUUUCUCCAUAAGGUUUACUCUAAUUAAAAAGUUAAGAUGUGUGUAGGAUCAAGACCUGUUUGAACAUAUCACUCAUUUCGCCUUUGAUUUAAUUGGCACAUGCCAUUUAUCAAUCUCUUGGUCUUGGAGCCUUUCAGAUUUACUGUAGGAAGGACCAAUUCCAUCUUCUACUUCAAAAACUGAAGAUGAGAGCAUAACAUUAUAUUAAUCUUUUAUGGUAAUAUACAUUUUUUGACACUUUUAAUGUAUUAUUUAUUUUGAGUCAUUGAAACUCUAAAUAUACUGCAAAAAUCUAUUUAACAACAUAGGUCUGCAACAUACUUCAGAAUAAUUAAUUAUUUCAAGGUGAAUGUGUAGGUGUCUGCAGCUAAAUUAGUUGUUUCACAAUAUAUUUUGAGUUAUUUCACAAUCUUAUUUAAUCAUCACUUUCUUUUCAUUUAAACUGUUAUGAAAUCAAUUAAAUUAAGAUCUGAAAUUACAAUUCUUCAAAAGAAGCUUUGUCUUCUCAGUCUUCACCUCCCUGCCCCUUAAAAACAUUUCAUCAAACAAUUGGUUUUUCUGAAAGCAAAAUAACACAAAAUGGGAGGUAUUCAAUAAUAAAAGCCUUCCACAGCUCAGUAUUUAGAGCACUGAAGAGAACAUCUUCUAGAGCAAGCCACUGAUUGCUCAGGUACUUUUUGGCACUGGGAUCUUUUCUUGUCAUUGCUUAUCUUUGGAUACUGCCAUUCACAAAAAAAAAAAUAUUACCUCAUAAGCACUUUUUUUUUUUUUUCCCAUCAGAGCAUUGAGUUACUCAUCAGAAAAAUAAGAAGUAGUUUGUGUUAAUAAAUACCUUUCACAGUGGAGUGGGCAACGAUCUGUUUUGAGGGAGGAAAGAAAGGCAAGUGGAUGGACAGACAGGCUGACAGAGAUUAGCAAGUCUUCCCAGCAUCCCUAUUUAAGCUAUUUUUACUCAGAAGGCAGGGAGUAAGACUUAAGAGUGAGCCAGCAAUCCUAUUUAUAGAAAGCCAUUUUUAAAUGCAAAGGCUCUGAGAAGGAGAGUCACCUCCAUCCCAAACACCAGGCUCCCUGGAGCUCCCUCUGCACCGAGGAGGGAACAGCCCGAGCUGCAGCACUGAUGUGCUCCUGCUGAAGCUUCCAGAAGGACAUUUCCCUCAGAAAUGCAGGAGUUUGGGCCAUGGAGCAGCCCAAGAGCAUGGCUGAAAAUAGCUCUCUGCUCCACAUCCCCGUGGCAGAGACAAAGGCACACCCAGGGAUCACCCGAGGAAUUCUUUGCCUGGAGCCUCUCCAUGUAUUCUCUUGGACGUCCUGCUCGUGUGGCCCUCAGUUUAAUUUGUCAAGGAUGCAGUUCCUUCUGAAAUUUUAAAAUUAACAUAUAUAUUUCUGCACAUUUACAUAUGUAAAUCUACAUAGCUUAUAAUUGCUUAAAAACUACUGCGUACAGAAAAUCUGGCACUUGCUUUGCUGUCCAAGUGUGCUUGAUGCUAUUUUCUUCCAAUUAAUUACACUGUAAUCCCAUGCAGAAAAUUUGUGGUUUAAGGUCUAUGUUUUGCACUAGGCUAAAAAUUAUUCUCAGAAACUUUCUGCCACCUAAAUUUUUGGAGUAACUUUAGGGAGCCCUUCAGUGUUUUAAGAAUAUCAGAAUCAUAUUUUUGAAAUGACCGGGACUAUUUCAACGCAGCCAAAAUAUAAUUACACUGCACUGUAGCUGCAAAUAGUUACCUAUCUACAUAAUCUACUCACAGUGAUUCUGUAGAUAAGAUUGUAGGGUUGCUGUGUCUAUAUAAAUAUAUCUGUUGGUGUGAAAUCCUCUCAUGUGGUUUUGCAAAUGAGUGGCUCAUGCUGAGCUUGCACGCUCGGGGCGUUCGUCUCUCAGCAUUGCAGAGUGGCAGCCCCCAGUGGCUCCAGUUUUUGGGUGCCAAAAUGGAAUUUGGGGAUUUGUGGAAGAGCUUGUUCCCUGCUCUGUUCUUUAUCCCCAUGAUAACAACUUGUUCAGUGAAGUUUUCUAGAGGUUUAGUAGUUAAUGUGGAGUGCAAAUGACAAAUGUCAGUCUUUGGAGUAUGUUUUUUGUUUAAGCUGGCUCCUGUUUUAGCUGGGAAGAGUUUUUGGGAUGCUGGAAUGUGCAGGCUUAGAGGAACCCAUGUUCCACCCACUAAUCUCAUUGUAGGAUUUGAGUGCACCCAAAUCUACUUGGUUGCUUUUUUUCCCAGCCCAUGGAAAGGUGAUGCAUGAAGUGCAAGCUCUGGGUUCUGUUGACUUCUCUUGUGCAAUCGUUUUUCUAUCAAAAACCAUUUUUUUUUUGUUUUUGUUUGUUUGUUUUUUGUUGUUUUGUUUUGUGGUAUCACCUUCUGAAGUCUUUGGGGUUUUUUGUGUGAGUUUUAUUAGGAAUUUUGGCCCUGACUCAGGAAAAUACUGUGGGUGCAUAGAGUCAGUCGCUUGAUAAUUAUGAGGUGAGCAUGUGACAAGCUGUUAGAACACUCCUGGCUUGAGCUAAGGACAGAACAAGUCCUUGACAAAGUCCUUUUUGUUAUGAAAAGUAGAUUCAGAUGUCCCUGGAAGGGGAUCUUGCUGGAAAAAAAUGUCAUUCGAGCAAAAUAAGCUUUAGGUGGACCUCAGCUUAAACUGCAGAUUGGUUCACCAUCCACACUACACAUUGUUCACCUGAAUUUUUUCCUCUCAUUAAGUGGCUUUUCUGUGAGGUAGUUUAAAAGCCAGUUCACAUAUUAUUUCUAGGCAAGUAAACCAUAAUUUGUGUUGCAACUGCACUUGUGAAGUACAAAGCAAAGUGUUUGCUGUGUCAUGAUAUGAAGGAAGCAAUUUGGGAAGCUGUCAGUGGAACAGAAGUUCUCCAGUUAUGUUUGCAGACAUCCAGUGUAGAGAGUUUUUUGCAUAGUUAAGUGAUUUUCAAAUGUCUACAGUAAUAUUUGCAUUAUACUUUAUGCUUUUAGCUAUAUUUAUUUAGGGAGAUUUCCUUUGUAUCUUUCUAGUUUUGUUGAGUGACCUCAAGGUUUCUCUUCCACAAUGACAACUUUUUUUCACAACCCUGUUAUGCAGGGGCUCUAGAAACCAGAUUUUCAUCAUUUCAGGCACAGACAGUGAGGUUCAUCCCACUACAGAACUUGAGUGCUAGGUGCUGGUUACCAUGGGUUUUGUUGUGUCAGCUGUGGCUGAGGCUUUUUGUUCUCAACUUUUUUGUAAAUAUUUAUCUAUAAAAUGCAGAAUGAAUGCUCAGGGGAGAGGGAAGGGUGGGGACACAAGGAUAACUUUUAGUGGGGAGGCUAAAGGAAGUGAAAAGGGUGAGCUGGGAUUGCACAGGUAUCCAGCCAGUGAUGUAAGAUGAGAAGAGGGAGGGCAUUCACAGGGCAUGAAUCCCUGUGGGACAGCAGGAGGGUAGGCUCUGAAAGCCAAAUUCCAGCUGGACAGUUUAUGGUGAAGGACCCUGAGGUCCUGGAUUCAAUUUGCAGUGGGGAAGGCAAAGCUGAGCCUGUUCCCCUGUGAGCUGUGGGUGGAGAACAAGACAGAAUGUGGCUUUGGGACUACUCAGUGCUCUGUUUUCGCUACUGGUCUGUGCCAGAGAAGCUGGUGCUACCCAUGGAUCCUGUGUGUCUAGGGAUAGGGAGCUCAAAACCCCAGCUGCCCUUGUCCUUCACUGCCUGCACUCAGAUUUUUCUUUCAUUCUUAUUAUUUAAUCUCUGCUGUAGGCUUAGGCUUUUGAGGCCUACUACCAGUCUUCUCUCCAAAUUUUCCCUAGUUAUUUAUAUUUAUUUCCCCUCUUCCCCUGAAGGCAAAUGGAUUUGGGGGAGUGGAGGAGAUCAAGGAUGGGCAGCAAUCUUAGAAAUGUCAGCGUGGCUGUAGGGGAGGAAGGGCAAGUGGAGCUGAGCGCCUUUAUUGGGCAGGAGGGAGAUAAUUAAUCCUUGGAAAA